Long non-coding RNA from Bradysia coprophila, 335 nucleotides. Lineage: Eukaryota; Metazoa; Arthropoda; Insecta; Diptera; Sciaridae. The record is from RefSeq and is a predicted model, not a curated record.
UUUACAUAUUCUGUGUGCGCCUUUGAAGUUUGUUUUACGGCUUUUGAAUGGCAUAACAACAAAUGUAUGAGAAUCUAUGCUAAAAUGGCUAAGUAAAAAUUUAUCCGACAGAUGUUGAUGUUGCUCGUGCGAUUUGUAUUUCGUAACAGUAGUAUGUUGAUAUUUGCACAAGGAUAAUUGGUUUUUUACAUGUUGUACAUUUGGAAUUUCUGGGACAGUGACUUCAAAAGAGCGGAUGUUGUUGUUGAAUAGUUUGGUCAAGUUUUGAAUACAGACAGUUCAUGUUUACAGCUUGUUGUUUAAAUUGAACAAUAGUCUGGAACGAUAUUAUCAUC